This 164-nucleotide ribosomal RNA is filed under the name Viola woosanensis. RNAcentral describes it as "5.8S ribosomal RNA". It matches the Rfam family "5.8S ribosomal RNA". From Rfam's summary of the family: 5.8S ribosomal RNA (5.8S rRNA) is a component of the large subunit of the eukaryotic ribosome. Lineage: Eukaryota; Viridiplantae; Streptophyta; Magnoliopsida; Malpighiales; Violaceae. The record is from RNAcentral.
UAAACGACUCUCGGCAACGGAUAUCUCGGCUCUCGCAUCGAUGAAGAACGUAGCGAAAUGCGAUACUUGGUGUGAAUUGCAUAAUCCCGUGAAUCAUCGAGUCUUUGAACGCAAGUUGCGCCCGAAGCCUUUUGGCCGAGGGCACGUCUGCCUGGGUGUCACGC